CAGUUGGAAACGACUGCUAAUACCGCAUACGAUCUAAUCUCGGCAUCGAGGAUGGAUGAAAGGUGGCCUCUAUUUAUAAGCUAUCACUGAAGGAGGGGAUUGCGUCUGAUUAGCUAGUUGGAGGGGUAACGGCCCACCAAGGCAAUGAUCAGUAGCCGGUCUGAGAGGAUGAACGGCCACAUUGGGACUGAGACACGGCCCAGACUCCUACGGGAGGCAGCAUG
This 224-nucleotide ribosomal RNA is filed under the name uncultured bacterium. RNAcentral describes it as "partial 16S ribosomal RNA". It matches the Rfam family "Bacterial small subunit ribosomal RNA", at positions 147 to 353 of the family's 1533-position model. The record is from RNAcentral.